GGGGGCGUACAGGUUUCGACGGGGGCGCUGAGACGGAAACAGCGUGCGGAUGCGCCUGCCAUCCUUAAAACGGGCAAAUUAUAAAUCAAAUAACAACGAUUAUACUGCACCGGUAGCCGCCUAAGGCUGCCCGUCCGCCCCGCGGAGGCCACGCCGCGGGUGUCGGGCGUGACUUAUGUGGCGUACGUGAGUGCGCAAAGCUUUGAGCGCACCAUGCAUAAUGAAGCUACUCUGACGGAGGGCGUGACGGCUUGCCUUCCGCAAAGGGGAAACGGCCCCAGGCCGCAAUAACCGUCUGCGCACGGAGAGGUUUCCGAGGAUACGCUUUCGGACAGGGGUUCGAUUCCCCUCGCCUCCACCA
RNAcentral lists this transfer-messenger RNA (361 nucleotides) under Oscillospiraceae. RNAcentral describes it as "UBA1246 sp017958265 Standard tmRNA". It matches the Rfam family "transfer-messenger RNA". From Rfam's summary of the family: Bacterial tmRNA, also known as 10Sa RNA or SsrA, is named for its dual tRNA and mRNA-like properties. Its role is to liberate the mRNA from a stalled ribosome. Lineage: Bacteria; Bacillati; Bacillota; Clostridia; Eubacteriales. The record is from RNAcentral. RNAcentral also lists the same sequence under 1 other name.